RNAcentral lists this ribosomal RNA (263 nucleotides) under uncultured bacterium. RNAcentral's name for it is "partial 16S ribosomal RNA". It matches the Rfam family "Bacterial small subunit ribosomal RNA", at positions 524 to 786 of the family's 1533-position model. The record is from RNAcentral.
CACGUAGGGGGCAAGCGUUGUUCGGAAUUAUUGGGCGUAAAGGGCAUGUAGGCGGUUUGGUAAGCCUGAUGUGAAAUCCUGCAGCUUAACUGUAGAAUUGCAUUGGGUACUGCCGAACUUGAAUCACUGAGGGGAAACUAGAAUUCCAGGUGUAGGGGUGGAAUCUGUAGAUAUCUGGAAGAAUACCGGUGGCGAAGGCGGGUUUCUAGCAGAUGAUUGACGCUGAGGUGCGAAAGUGCGGGGAGCGAACAGGAUUAGAUACC